GUGGGGAAUAUUAGGCAAUGGGGGAAACCCUGACCUAGCAACGCCGCGUGAAGGAUGAAGGUCUUCGGAUUGUAAACUUCUUUGGCCCGGGACGAUAAUGACGGUACCGGGAGAACAAGCCACGGCUAACUACGUGCCAGCAGCCGCGGUAAUACGUAGGUGGCAAGCGUUGUCCGGAUUUACUGGGUGUAAAGGGCGAGUAGGCGGGGAUGCAAGUCAGAUGUGAAAUACCGAGGCUUAACUUCGGAGCUGCAUUUGAAACUGCAUUUCUUGAGUGAUGGAGAGGCAGGCGGAAUUCCCGGUGUAGCGGUGAAAUGCAUAGAGAUCGGGAGGAACACCAGUGGCGAAGGCGGCCUGCUGGACAUUAACUGACGCUGAGGCGCGAAAGUGUGGGGAGCAAACAGGAUUAGAUACCCUUGUAGUCC
This 425-nucleotide ribosomal RNA is filed under the name uncultured bacterium. RNAcentral describes it as "partial 16S ribosomal RNA". It matches the Rfam family "Bacterial small subunit ribosomal RNA", at positions 354 to 796 of the family's 1533-position model. The record is from RNAcentral.